UAGUGAAAAAAUUUAGUUAAGUUAUAACAUUAGU
RNAcentral lists this transfer RNA (34 nucleotides) under Nicrophorus kieticus. RNAcentral's name for it is "partial tRNA-Asp". Lineage: Eukaryota; Metazoa; Arthropoda; Insecta; Coleoptera; Silphidae. The record is from RNAcentral.